RNAcentral lists this ribosomal RNA (491 nucleotides) under uncultured bacterium. RNAcentral describes it as "partial 16S ribosomal RNA". It matches the Rfam family "Bacterial small subunit ribosomal RNA", at positions 29 to 506 of the family's 1533-position model. The record is from RNAcentral.
AGUGAACGCUGGCGGUAGGCCUAACACAUGCAAGUCGAACGGCAGCACAGUAAGAGCUUGCUCUUACGGGUGGCGAGUGGCGGACGGGUGAGGAAUACAUCGGAAUCUACUUUUUCGUGGGGGAUAACGUAGGGAAACUUACGCUAAUACCGCAUACGACCUACGGGUGAAAGCAGGGGAUCUUCGGACCUUGCGCGAUUGAAUGAGCCGAUGUCGGAUUAGCUGGUUGGCGGGGUAAAGGCCCACCAGGGCGACGAUCCGUGGCGGGUCCGAGAGGAUGAUCGGCCACACGGGACCUGAGAAACGGUCCAGACCCCUACGGGAGGCAGCAGUGGGAAAUAUUGGACAAUGGGCGCAAGCCUGCUCCAGCCAUACCGCGUGGGUGAAGAAGGCCUUCGGGUUGUAAAGCCCUUUUGUUGGGAAAGAAAAGCGGCAGAUUAAUACCCCGCUGUUCUGACGGUACCAAAAGAAUAAGCACCGGCAAACUUCGU